Molecule: unclassified non-coding RNA, 225 nt
Filed under: rhizosphere metagenome
Description: partial ribosomal RNA internal transcribed spacer region
Source: RNAcentral
GAGAUUUUUUCAUACUUGUAUGAAAUCUCCCACCCUUUGUGUUACCAAAUUUUAUUACUUUGGUGAAGCGUUCUUGCAGUUUGUUUCGGCAGCUGCGGGGCCAUCGGCUUUGUUAUGAAGCGGGUGUGUUCUUCGCCAAAGGAACCAUUAACUCUUAUUAUUUAUCAAUUGUCUGAGUUUAUAUUUUAAAUAAACAAAACUUUCAACAACGGAUCUCUUGGUUCU